Non-coding RNA from Camelina sativa (false flax), 223 nucleotides. NCBI's taxonomy places the organism in Eukaryota, Viridiplantae, Streptophyta, Magnoliopsida, Brassicales, Brassicaceae. The record is from RefSeq and is a predicted model, not a curated record.
AUUCAUCUCCACCAAAUUCUCCAGUUUCUUCUCUUUCAUCUACAAUCACAGUACUCAUCCAUGGCGAUUUCUCAAGCUCAACCUCUGCUUCUUCUGCUCAUAUCAUUCUUCCUAUUACCUGCUUUGCACGCCACUUCUUUCUCCUACUGCGAUAAGAGGCUCGAUCCCGUCAAGGUCACGGGUGUGAAGAUCUCUCCUAACCCCGUUGUGAGUGGUGAAGCUG